Molecule: ribosomal RNA, 258 nt
Filed under: Triticum aestivum (bread wheat)
Lineage: Eukaryota; Viridiplantae; Streptophyta; Magnoliopsida; Poales; Poaceae
Description: partial small subunit ribosomal RNA
Source: RNAcentral
AUGGUGCAUGAAGAGCGUAUUCUGCUCGAAGAUCUUCAAGGUGCCGUCACUUCAAUUCUUGGGGAUGACAAGGGUAGUUUUAUUGCUGCUUCAAAUGACUACAUCGAGCAUGUAGCGAAUGCAACAAUGGCAGAGGCCUAUGCGCCCAGGCGUGGACUUCUUCUAGCGCAACAGCUUGGGAUCGAGAACCUGAUUGUCGAAUCAGAUUGUAUGGAGGUGAUUGAUACGAUGCAUGAUGGGGGGUUUUCUUCGACAUGA